This 439-nucleotide ribosomal RNA is filed under the name uncultured bacterium. Its description in RNAcentral is "partial 16S ribosomal RNA". It matches the Rfam family "Bacterial small subunit ribosomal RNA", at positions 339 to 795 of the family's 1533-position model. The record is from RNAcentral.
CUACGGGUUGCACCAGUGAGGAAUAUUGCACAAUGGGGGGAACCCUGAUGCAGCAACGCCGCGUGGAGGAUGACGCAUUUCGGUGUGUAAACUCCUUUUAUAUGUCAAGAAAAUGACGGUAGCAUAUGAAUAAGCACCGGCUAACUCCGUGCCAGCAGCCGCGGUAAUACGGAGGGUGCAGGCGUUACGCGGAAUCACUGGGCGUAAAGGACGCGUAGGCGGGUUGGAAAGUCAGGUGUGAAAUCCUACAGCUUAACUGUAGAACUGCACUUGAAACUUCUAAUCUAGAGUAUGGGAGGGGGAGAUGGAAUUAGUGGUGUAGGGGUAAAAUCCGUAGAUAUCACUAGGAAUACCUAAAGCGAAGGCGAUCUCCUGGAACAUUACUGACGCUAAGGCGUGAAAGCGUGGGGAGCAAACAGGAUUAGAUACCCCCGUAGUC